GUGGGGAAUAUUGGACAAUGGGCGCAAGCCUGAUCCAGCAAUACCGCGUGUGUGAAGAAGGCCUGAGGGUUGUAAAGCACUUUUAAUCGGGAGGAACACCUGUAGGCGAAUACCCUGCAGUAUGACAUUACCGAUAGAAAAAGCACCGGCUAACUCCGUGCCAGCAGCCGCGGUAAUACGGAGGGUGCAAGCGUUAAUCGGAAUUACUGGGCGUAAAGCGUGCGUAGGCGGUUCGCUAAGUCAGAUGUGAAAGCCCCGGGCUUAACCUGGGAACGGCAUUUGAUACUGGUUGACUAGAGUUGAGUAGAGGAGAGUGGAAUUUCAGGUGUAGCGGUGAAAUGCGUAGAGAUCUGAAGGAACACCAGUGGCGAAGGCGACUCUCUGGACUCAAACUGACGCUGAGGUACGAAAGCGUGGGUAGCAAACAGGAUUAGAAACCCGAGUAGUCC
Molecule: ribosomal RNA, 449 nt
Filed under: uncultured bacterium
Lineage: Bacteria
Description: bacterial SSU rRNA
Rfam family: Bacterial small subunit ribosomal RNA
Source: RNAcentral